RNAcentral lists this ribosomal RNA (491 nucleotides) under uncultured bacterium. Its description in RNAcentral is "partial 16S ribosomal RNA". It matches the Rfam family "Bacterial small subunit ribosomal RNA", at positions 29 to 506 of the family's 1533-position model. The record is from RNAcentral.
AGUGAACGCUGGCGGUAGGCCUAACACAUGCAAGUCGAACGGCAGCACAGUAAGAGCUUGCUCUUACGGGUGGCGAGUGGCGGACGGGUGAGGAAUACAUCGGAAUCUACUUUUUCGUGGGGGAUAACGUGGGGAAACUUACGCUAAUACCGCAUACGGCCUACGGGUGAAAGCAGGGGAUCUUCGGACCUUGCGCGAUUGAAUGAGCCGAUGUCGGAUUAGCUAGUUGGCGGGGUAAAGGCCCACCAAGGCGACGAUCCGUAGCUGGUCUGAGAGGAUGAUCAGCCACACUGGAACUGAGACACGGUCCAGACUCCUACGGGAGGCAGCAGUGGGGAAUAUUGGACAAUGGGCGCAAGCCUGAUCCAGCCAUACCGCGUGGGUGAAGAAGGCCUUCGGGUUGUAAAGCCCUUUUGUUGGGAAAGAAAAGCAGCAGGUUAAUACCCCGCUGUUCGGACGGUACCCAAAGAAUAAGCACCGGCUAACUUCGU